AGGGGCGCCCACAAACUUACCAUGAUCGAUGCAUAUACUGGAAGGGAAGACAUGGACAGACCUCACCCUCCCAACGCAUCACCACCACCAGGCAGAGAGAGGGAACCCACACCGCCACGUCACGCCCUUCGCCGCCCCACCAGCAGCUUCUUUGUCUCCGUCACCUCGCGUCCAUCUCCUGAAAAUAAUACCAUUUAUGAAAAUAUCUUGCGUCUAAAGGAUGUAAAAGAUUAUAUGAAUCUUUUGUGUUGCGAAAAUGUUUUACCUUUACAAGUGAAUGAGCAGAUUAAUAAAUGACCUAAAGAAGAA
This is a long non-coding RNA of Eriocheir sinensis (Chinese mitten crab), 309 nucleotides long. RefSeq lists it as uncharacterized. NCBI's taxonomy places the organism in Eukaryota, Metazoa, Arthropoda, Malacostraca, Decapoda, Varunidae. The record is from RefSeq and is a predicted model, not a curated record. The transcript is spliced from 2 exons.